AUACGGAGGGGGUUAGCGUUGUUCGGAAUUACUGGGCGUAAAGCGCACGUAGGCGGACUGGAAAGUUGGGGGUGAAAUCCCGGGGCUCAACCCCGGAACUGCCUCCAAAACUUCCAAUCUCGAGAUCGAGAGAGGUGAGUGGAAUUCCAAGUGUAGAGGUGAAAUUCGUAGAUAUUUGGAGGAACACCAGUGGCGAAGGCGGCUCACUGGCUCGAUACUGACGCUGAGGUGCGAAAGCGUGGGGAGCAAACAGGAUUAGAAACCCUAGUAGUCC
Molecule: ribosomal RNA, 274 nt
Filed under: uncultured bacterium
Lineage: Bacteria
Description: partial 16S ribosomal RNA
Rfam family: Bacterial small subunit ribosomal RNA
Source: RNAcentral